RNAcentral lists this long non-coding RNA (929 nucleotides) under Citrus x clementina. RNAcentral's name for it is "Citrus clementina (C. clementina) long non-coding RNA (CCLE_LNC001019)". The record is from RNAcentral. Lineage: Eukaryota; Viridiplantae; Streptophyta; Magnoliopsida; Sapindales; Rutaceae.
GCCCUUGUCGGGAUGAUUCUUGAUGGCAGCUUUUUUAUAAGCCUUCUUCAAGUCCUCAGCGGAAGCGUUCUUGGACACCCCCAGGAUCUCAUAGUACCUCGUAUUAUUGCUCUUCUUCGGUGCUCUUCCAAACAUCUUCUUUUGAGUUCCUUAACAAGAAUCAACAGUUUUCUUAACAAGAAUCAACAGAAACGAAACAGACCCAGAAAAUUCUUUUUCUCGCGGAGAACGCUACAGAAGAGUCCCCAAAAGCCGAGGAAUAUAACCUGGUUCACAACUUGAAGCAAUUGUUGAGUUGGGGGUAUAUUUAUAGGAGUAUUAAUAACGAUGGACGGUUGAGAUUUUUUCCUAGUCGGCUGUGAAUGUGAGCUUUGUUAAGAAGGGUCUAGAAUUCCCUCUCUCCUUCGGACACCCAAUAAAAAUGGAAAAAAAAAGGUGAUAAAUAAAUAUCUACGUUUAGGGUUCGUUGGAUGAUAAAUUUGACGGUGGGGAUUUUGUUCUAGAGUCUUCUCUCGAUGCCCCUCUUUUACGUCAUAAAUACGGUUUGUCUUUUGAAAGAGGAAAUGGGGGUAGAAAUAUCCAAAUACGAACAGAAUUUGGCAAUGCUUUCCGAAUUUUUAUACAUAUUUGAUUGACUUUAAAAGACCAUAAUCUCAUCGAAAUAUAGUUAAAUUAAUUGAAAUUAAUCUCAUGGAAACAAAACACUUGAUUAUUUUAAAUAAUUGGUGAGGUUUAGAUUAUAAUUUCUUGAAAUGCAAAAUUUAUUAUAAAUAUGAAGGUAACCCAAUUAGUAAAAUGAAGAUACGUCCGUAACAUACCACUAAGUGCUUAAAGACGUUCAAUUAAAGUAUACACGGCUAAAGACCAAGCCAUGAAUUCACCGUAAAAUAUAGUUAUUUUUCCUUUUUUGGGGAAUGAUUACGAUUUAC